Molecule: small nuclear RNA, 116 nt
Organism: Balaenoptera musculus (blue whale)
Lineage: Eukaryota; Metazoa; Chordata; Mammalia; Artiodactyla; Balaenopteridae
Gene: U5
Rfam family: U5 spliceosomal RNA
About the family: U5 RNA is a component of both types of known spliceosome.
Source: Ensembl
AUACUCUGGUUUCUCUUCAGAUCGUAUAACUCUUUCGCCUUUUACUAAAGAUUUCCGUGGAGAGAAACAAUUCUGAGCCUUUACCCAAUUUUUUGAGGCCUUGCUCUUGCAAGGCU